Molecule: ribosomal RNA, 610 nt
Filed under: uncultured bacterium
Lineage: Bacteria
Description: bacterial SSU rRNA
Rfam family: Bacterial small subunit ribosomal RNA (bases 1-519)
Source: RNAcentral
CCUACGGGAGGCAGCAGUGGGAAUUUUCCGCAAUGGGCGAAAGCCUGACGGAGCAAUACCGCGUGAGGGAGGAAGGCUCUUGGGUCGUAAACCUCUUUCUCAAGGAAGAUAAUGACGGUACUUGAGGAAUAAGCAUCGGCUAACUCCGUGCCAGCAGCCGCGGUAAUACGGAGGAUGCAAGCGUUAUCCGGAAUGAUUGGGCGUAAAGAGUCCGUAGGUGGUAAUUCAAGUCUGUGGUUAAAGCGUGGAGCUCAACUCCAUAAGGGCCAUGGAAACUGAAUAACUAGAGUGAGGUAGGGGUAGAGGGAAUUCUCGGUGUAGCGGUGAAAUGCGUAGAUAUCGGGAAGAACACCGGUGGCGAAAGCGCUCUACUGGACCUUAACUGACACUGAGGGACGAAAGCUAGGGGAGCGAAAGGGAUUAGAUACCCCCUGUAGUCCUAGCCGUAAACGAUGGAUACCUAGGUGUUGCCCCGUAUCGACCCGGGCAGUGCGUACGCGUACGACGUAGUACUCCGUCCGUCGGAGGUACGCGACGACGAGUAGUGAACUACGAAUAGAAGUAGUACGGACGUGAGACGUGUCCGACGGACGACGACGAGGGAGGUAGG